AUGCAUAGCUCCCGAAUCGCCAGCCCAUGGGCGCGGCAAACUGCUCCCAUGGCUACGAGGCAGGAGUGACCUUCAAUCCAGCGUUUGUGUUUGGGAAACUUAUUUGGCUGAUUUGAUUGUACCCUAGCAGCUGGUGUUCACGCGCUCAAGAGAUGGGUUCGUUAUCUUAUGUGCACGUAUACUGCCUGGCUUUUCUAUGCGCAAGAAUGUAACCACUAAGAAGAGUUGUAAACAAAGUAAGGAGAGAAAUAAAAACCCCAGGAAAAGUUUUCCUGGGAGGCUUUUUGCAAGAGGCUUGUAAAGCUCUCUAGCUACCACAGACCUGGCGUUCUGUUUCCUUUCCUGCGUCGUCACCACAGCUGGUGACCCCGACGUGAUGCCCCUCUACUCACCGGCUGGAUACGCCGAGCGCGCCCGCGGCUGUUUGCCGCCCCUUAUUCAUCAUCAGAGAAAACGGAUGCCAGCUGAACAGCAUUCAAUGUACCAUGCAUUUACUGGCACAAUAGGGAUUAUUUUUGUGUUUUAUGGCAAAAAUUGUUGUUAAAAAUUGCAUACCAACAGUCUUUGGAAGCAAGGACAUGGAAGGUUAACCCACUCCCCAUAUUGCCCAUGGGAUCCUUCUGGCUACCUCAGAUUUCUAGCCAGAGGGCUGGGGAGGGAGGAAAGCAAUUAGACACCUGAGGUUGUACCGAGUGGACUCCUCAAAAGUGGGUGUGCUUGUCCCGGUUUGUUGCUCCAAAGCUCUGUAAUAAAGUUAUUUUACUGGAAGAGUGUACAUGGCAUACAUUGAAUAAUAA
This is a long non-coding RNA of Malaclemys terrapin pileata, 797 nucleotides long. RefSeq lists it as uncharacterized. The transcript is spliced from 2 exons. The record is from RefSeq and is a predicted model, not a curated record. Lineage: Eukaryota; Metazoa; Chordata; Testudines; Emydidae.